Molecule: ribosomal RNA, 141 nt
Filed under: Neocallimastix californiae
Lineage: Eukaryota; Fungi; Neocallimastigomycota; Neocallimastigomycetes; Neocallimastigales; Neocallimastigaceae
Description: 5.8S ribosomal RNA
Rfam family: 5.8S ribosomal RNA
About the family: 5.8S ribosomal RNA (5.8S rRNA) is a component of the large subunit of the eukaryotic ribosome. It is transcribed by RNA polymerase I as part of the 45S precursor that also contains 18S and 28S rRNA.
Source: Rfam by way of RNAcentral
AACCUUUGACAAUGGAUCUCUUGGUUCUCGCAAUGAUGAAGAAUGCAUCAAAAUACGAGAAUUGCAGAAUAUGUGAAUCAUCAAAUUGAACACAUAGCAUUUUUUUGGUUUACUAAAAAAAGUAUGCCUAUUUGAGUAUCA